Molecule: ribosomal RNA, 942 nt
Filed under: Triticum aestivum (bread wheat)
Lineage: Eukaryota; Viridiplantae; Streptophyta; Magnoliopsida; Poales; Poaceae
Description: partial small subunit ribosomal RNA
Source: RNAcentral
AUGGCGACUUUCCACAUCUCCGCUCUCAGCCUGCCGAAAUGGAUCCUGGGAAAGGUUGAGAAGAUCAUUCGCAUGUUUCUAUGGCAGAAAUAGGACGAAACACAAACUUCUGGAGGGCACUCCCUCGUUAACUGGAAGACCGACUGUCGUCCAAGGAGGUUGGGCGGCCUGGGAAUCGCGGACCAUGAGGGUUUUGGCCGCGCCCUCCGCCUUCGCUGGCCCUGGUUACAAUGGACGGACCCGGAGAGGCCAUGGGUGGGCUCUGGCCUGCCAUGCGACCAGGCCGAUAUGAACCAUUUUCGCGCAAGCACAACCAUAACUUUGGGAGAUGGCCACAAGGCACUUUUCUGGCAUGACAACUAGAGCGGAAGGGGCCCUCUAAUACUACUUGCUCCGGAGCUUUACAAAAUGGCUUCAAGGAAAUAUAGGACCGUGCAUCACGAGUUGACAAAUGAUAACUGGAUCAGAGCAGUCGCUAGCCUUCGAUCCCUGCAACAACUGGGGGAAUGUUUCACUCUAUCAGGAUAGAUUAGCCAGACAGUUCUGCUGCCAGAUCAGGACGACACAAUCUCCUGGAACCUGACCACUAAUGGAGCCUACUCUUCCGCAUCGGCCUAUGCGGCGCAGUUCUGUGGCUCACACCCAAGAUUUGACUCUUCAAAGGUCUGGUCUGCUUAUGCUGAGCCCAAGUGCAAAUUCUUUGCGUGGCUAGUCCUGGAUGGUAGAAUCCUCACCGCAGAUAUGUUGGCUAUUCGCGGUUGGCCACAUGACCCAAGGUGUCAGCUAUGUCUUCAGCAGCCAGAAACGGCAACCCAUCUUCGCAAGGACUAUCCCUUCGCGGUCGCUGUUUGGAACCAGGUAAACACCUGGGCAAACGAGGGUCUCGCCAUAGUUUCUUGCCUGAGCUUGGCGUUGUUUCUGACUGGUGGGUCAAGAUGCUAG